UACGUAGGGUGCAAGCGUUAUCCGGAUUUACUGGGUUUAAAGGGUGCGUAGGUGGGCAGGUAAGUCAGUGGUGAAAUCUCCGAGCUUAACUCGGAAACUGCCAUUGAUACUAUCUGUCUUGAAUUAUCUGGAGGUAAGCGGAAUAUGUCAUGUAGCGGUGAAAUGCUUAGAUAUGGCAUAGAACACCAAUUGCGAAGGCAGCUUACUGGGGAUCGAUUGACACUGAGGCACGAAAGCGUGGGGAUCAAACAGG
This 253-nucleotide ribosomal RNA is filed under the name uncultured bacterium. RNAcentral's name for it is "partial 16S ribosomal RNA". It matches the Rfam family "Bacterial small subunit ribosomal RNA", at positions 524 to 776 of the family's 1533-position model. The record is from RNAcentral.